Molecule: ribosomal RNA, 440 nt
Filed under: uncultured bacterium
Lineage: Bacteria
Description: partial 16S ribosomal RNA
Rfam family: Bacterial small subunit ribosomal RNA
Source: RNAcentral
CCUACGGGAGACAGCAGUAGGGAAUAUUGCUCCAUGGGGGAAACCCUGAAGCAGCAACGCCGCGUGGAGGAUGAAGGUUUUCGGAUUGUAAACUCCUUUUGUUAGAGAAGAUAAUGACGGUAUCUAACCAAUAAGCACCUGCUAACUCCGUGCCAGCAGCCGCGGUAAUACGGAGGGUGCAAGCGUUACUCGGAAUCACUGGGCGUAACGAGCGCGUAGGCGGGAUAGCAAGUCAGAUGUGAAAUCCUAUGGCUUAACCAUAGAACUGCAUUUGAAACUGGUAUUCUAGAGUAUGGGAGAGGUAGGUGGAAUUCUAGGUGUAGGGGUAAAAUCCGUAGAGAUCAAGAGGAAUACUCAUUGCGAAGGCGACCUGCUAGAACAUAACUGACGCUGAUGCGCGAAAGCGUGGGGAGCAAACAGGAUUAGAUACCCGUGUAGUC